UACAGAGGGUGCAAGCGUUAAUCGGAAUUACUGGGCGUAAAGGGCCUGUAGGUGGUUUCUUAAGUUAGAUGUGAAAGCCCUGGGCUCAACCUGGGAACUGCAUCUAAAACUGGGUGACUAGAGUAUGGUAGAGGGAAGUGGAAUUUCUAGUGUAGCGGUGAAAUGCGUAGAUAUUAGAAAGAACACCAGUGGCGAAGGCGACUUCCUGGACCAAUACUGACACUGAGGGGCGAAAGCGUGGGGAGCAAACAGG
Molecule: ribosomal RNA, 253 nt
Filed under: uncultured bacterium
Lineage: Bacteria
Description: partial 16S ribosomal RNA
Rfam family: Bacterial small subunit ribosomal RNA
Source: RNAcentral